UUUUAGCCCCGAUGGAAACGGCAUCCUUUUUUGGCUCUUCACUCCUAUUGUCUGCCAAAAAAGAUAUAGUGGACAGCGGGACAAGUG
This 87-nucleotide small RNA is filed under the name Flavobacterium sp. S87F.05.LMB.W.Kidney.N. RNAcentral describes it as "Flavo-1 RNA". It matches the Rfam family "Flavo-1 RNA". The record is from RNAcentral. Lineage: Bacteria; Pseudomonadati; Bacteroidota; Flavobacteriia; Flavobacteriales; Flavobacteriaceae.